AGAGAAGAGAAACCAAAGAAGAACAAACCCUAGGUGGGAAAAAUCAAAGAGAAAGUGUUGGAAUUCAAGGAUUUGAUCAAGCAAAGGUAAAAUUUCUUUGAUUUUGCUAGUGAUUUACCUUUCCCAUGCAUUUCUCCUCAUUUUCCAUGGUUACAUUACAUGUUUUCAUGAUGAAUUCAUGGCUGGUUGGAAUGGAUAUGGAGAGAGAAUGAUGUUAGAUUGAUUUGAUUAUAAGUUAUGUUAGUGUUUUUAGUUAGUUAAGCAUGCUUAGAAACAAAACAACAAGAAAAGAAUCCAUUUUCCCCAUGAACCUUCAAUGGUUGAACCCUAUGUGAAGUGUAGAAGUAAUGAAUUGAUUUUGUGAUCAAGUGAAUUGGUUGAAAAAUUUAUGAAAUGAUGAUUUAUUGUGAGAAAAUGGAAUGGAAAAAUUUUUAGUGACAGUGCACCACAAUGGCCGAAAUUUUCAAGAAGAAUUGUGAGGGUUGUUAGGCUGAAUUUUAGAUUAUUGGAAUUGUAUUUAGUGAAUUGAAAUAUUAGAAAUGAAUGGAGCAAUUUGGAGCCAAAUCGGACACAAUUGUCAUUUAAUCAGGUAAUAGGCCAAAUUAGGUCAGCACCGCAUUUAAGCAGUAGUCGGAUAAGUUGCAUAUCAUAUCAUGCAUAUACAUCGAUCCUGAAUUGAUUUUAUAAUUGUCAAGCAUUCAUGUGGUGAAUUAUGUAUUGUACAUUGUGGAUAGGUGGUAAGUAAAUUACACUGGUAAAAGUACAGAGAUUGUGCUUGGAGACUGUGCUUAGGAGUACAUCGACUCCUAGAACUGUGAGUAAACUUAUUAUCGUCUUAAUUAUCUAAAGUAAUUUUAUACAAUUGUGUGAUUUAAUAGAAAAAGGGUUUAAAUGGUAAAUUGCUAUGUUUUAGAAGAAAUUGUGAUUUUAUGAAAUGAUUUUAUAAAUUUUUUUGAAAAUUGAAUACUGGUUUUGAAAAUAGAGUAAUUGGAGACUGCUUGUUUGUGUUGUAAAUUUAUGGUUUUAAAUUGAAUGGCUUAUGACAAUAUAUGAGCAUGAAUGGCUAAACUGAUUUUUAGUGUUAGAAUUAUUUGUACUGUGUAUUCAGCCUUGAGAGGCUAGGUUACGAUAAAUUGCCAUGUCAUGAAGAAAAAGAUUUUAUAAAUUAGGUGGUAGAUAAAAUAAUCUAUAGUCACUGCAGUGGUGGGGGUUUCCGUGAACUGCCUAUGAGAGGGGCACGGUAACCCAAUUAUAUAUUUACCUCCGGGGGGAGAUGUUGGAUGAAGUAUCUCCUGAGGUAAAGAUUUGAGUGCACUUCACGUGGACCACCGCGUGAGAGUAAGACUCAGCCAACGCCAAGGCAUGGCUAAAAUUUUAGAUGUAAAGACAUUUAACAGCCUUAGCAAACUCGAUUGGGAUAACCCUCGAUCAAGGUAUCCCUGAUAACUGAGUAUGAGAAUGAUUUUUGG
This 1469-nucleotide long non-coding RNA is filed under the name Theobroma cacao (cacao). RNAcentral's name for it is "long non-coding RNA (TCAC_LNC000509)". Lineage: Eukaryota; Viridiplantae; Streptophyta; Magnoliopsida; Malvales; Malvaceae. The record is from RNAcentral.